UAGAGUUUGAUUCCUGCUCAGAUUGAACGCUGGCGGCAGGCCUAACACAUGCAAGUCGAACGGUAACAGAGAGUAGCUUGCUACUUUGCUGACGAGUGGCGGACGGGUGAGUAAUGUCUGGGGAUCUGCGUGAUGGAGCAUAGAUAACUACUGGAAACGGUAGCUAAUACCGCAAAUGUCGCAAGACCAAAGCGGGGGACUUUCGGGCCUCGCACCAUCAGAUGAACCCAGAUGGGAUCAGCUAGUAGGUAAGGUAAUGGCUUACCUAGGCGACGAUCCCUAGCUGGUCUGAGAGGAUGACCAGCCACACUGGAACUGAGACACGGUCCAGACUCCUACGGGAGGCAGCAGUGGGGAAUAUUGCACAAUGGGCGCAAGCCUGAUGCAGCCAUGCCGCGUGUAUGAAGAAGGCCUUCGGGUUGUAAAGUACUUUCAGUCAGGAGGAAGGGUGUGAAAUUAAUACUUUCAUGCAUUGACGUUACUGACAGAAGAAGCACCGGCUAAUUCCGUGCCAGCAGCCGCGGUAAUACGGAGGGUCCAAGCGUUAAUCGGAAUUACUGGGCGUAAAGCGCACGCAGGCGGUUUGUUAAUUCAGAUGUGAAAUCCCCGGGUUCAACCUGGGAACUCCAUUGGAAACUGGCAAGCUGGAGUCUGGUAGAGGGGGGUAGAAUUCCAGGUGUAGCGGUGAAAUGCGUAGAGAUCUGGAGGAAUACCGGUGGGGAAGGCGGCCUCCUGGACAAAGACUGACGCUCAGGUGGGAAAGCGUGGGGAGCAACCAGGAUUAGAUACCCUGGUAGUCCACGCCGUAAACGAUGUCGACUUGGAGGCUGUUCCCUUGAGGAGUGGCUUCCGGAGCUAACGCGUUAAGUCGUCCGCCUGGGGAGUACGGCCGCAAGGUGAACUUCGGAAUGAUUGACCAGCUGACCC
RNAcentral lists this ribosomal RNA (927 nucleotides) under Enterobacteriaceae bacterium. RNAcentral describes it as "bacterial SSU rRNA". It matches the Rfam family "Bacterial small subunit ribosomal RNA", at positions 1 to 924 of the family's 1533-position model. The record is from RNAcentral. Lineage: Bacteria; Pseudomonadati; Pseudomonadota; Gammaproteobacteria; Enterobacterales; Enterobacteriaceae.